AUGGCGGCAGCUCCCGGCCGGGCCGAGGGACACGGGAGGCGCCGCCCGGCCGCCCUCAGCAAAGAUGGCGGCGGCAGGCGCCCAUGCGUGCCCGGCGAGGGUCAGCACCGUGACGCCUUUCACUUCCGGGUGAGUGGCAGCGGGCGCCAUAUUGUCUUGUCCGUGAAGACGAGGAGUGAUAGCGGGGGCAGCGCGGCCGCGGAGCGGCGGCACCGGCGGAGGGAGGCGGGGGAGCGCUUGAAAUAUAGACUAUAUAAAGACUUAAAAGAUGUGGGAUCAAGGUGGACAACCUUGGCAGCAAUGGCCUUUGAACCAACAGCAGUGGAUGCAGUCAUUUCAGCACCAGCAAGAUCCAAGUAAGUAUAUAGAAAGCUUUGUGGAUUAAUUCUUUUAAUGUGUUGUCGUUUAAAUUUUUGACUCUUCGUAACAGAGUAUAACUCAUAUUUGCCUUUGUAGCUGCUCUCAAGAUAAUAUAUUUAUGAUGCUUUUCUGAACUAGAAAACUACAUUGGUUCCAAAUGUUUUCACAUAGUUAAUAUAUAAUACGCAAAUACAGGAAGAAACCUGAGUUGUCCUACACAAGUUACCAGCAUUUUGCCUGUCAUACAGAUCAACAAUUAGACCUUGUUUACCAGAUCUGUAUCCCUAUCAGUUCUUCAGCCAAGCUAAAUCCUUUGUUUGAGAGAAUCUGCUUUUUUAUUCAAUACCUGUGUGACAGAAGUAUUAAUGCAGAUUAUGUCUACAGAAAAAAACCUCACUGGAAGAGUAAUACCGUUUUUGAUUUAGGUUACAGCAGUGAUAAUCGUGAUCUCUUGUUUGGAAUUCUUUUCCCCACCAAAACCACCAAAUGCUUUAAACAGUAGAACAGAAUAUACCUUAAAUUGAGCAUGAGGUGGCAACCAUUCAAAAUACCAAGAGAAAUAGAGAAAUGGAUGAAAGGGCAGGUGUGUAUUUAAUAUUAAGGCAAAGUGAUCUGGCACACAGGUUUUACUGUCCCUGUAAUUUCUGUUAAAUUCACUGGAGAGUUUUCCUGACUUAUAAUAAGCAGAAGACAUACUAGUGUUCUUAUCUGAGAGUGUAAUUUAUUUGCUUACUGGUAGGAAUGGCAGUAAAGAAAAAAAUGGGAGACAGAACUGUAACAUGAUAUAUGGCUAGGGUUAUACAGAGUGUACAUUGAAAAAUAAUUUUCUAACUAUUUCUAGCUAUAUCUUUUUUUUGCUCUCAAAUCUUAAUGAAUUUGUAAUUUAAGGAUAUGUAUAUUAAUUUCUGAUGUCAAAAUUAGCUCACCUAUGAAAAAAGUGCAUUGAAAUAUAG
Molecule: long non-coding RNA, 1313 nt
Filed under: Ficedula albicollis (Collared flycatcher)
Lineage: Eukaryota; Metazoa; Chordata; Aves; Passeriformes; Muscicapidae
Description: lncRNA (ENSFALG00000023995.1)
Source: RNAcentral